Molecule: ribosomal RNA, 121 nt
Filed under: Periophthalmus magnuspinnatus
Lineage: Eukaryota; Metazoa; Chordata; Actinopteri; Gobiiformes; Gobiidae
Source: RNAcentral
UCCAAAGGUCAGACCUCCUUGUCAAAGCCUGAUCUCGUGAGCUCUCAGAAGCUAAGCAGAGCUGGGCCUAGUUAGUUCUUGGAUGUGAGACCGCUGGGAAAACACUUGGUGGUUGAGGGGC